UUGUAAUUGGAAUGAUGGAAAUUUAAACCCUUUUUAAAGUAUCAAUUGGAGGGCAAGUCUGGUGCCAGCAGCCGCGGUAAUUCCAGCUCCAAUAGCGUAUAUUAAAAUUGUUGCAGUUAAAAAGCUCGUAGUUGAAGUUCUGCUAAAAGUAACCGGUCUGCUUUUAAUAAAGGUGGUAUCUUGGUGUGUAUUUAGCAAUGAUGUCCUUUGAAGUGUUUUUUACUUUAUUGUAAUAAAGCAUAUUCAGGACUUUUACUUUGAGAAAAUUAGAGUGUUUCUAGCAGGCUAACGCUUUGAAUACUGCAGCAUGGAAUAAUAAGAUAGGAUUUUAGUUCUACAUUAUUGGUUUUAAGAGCUAAAUUAAUGAUUGAUAGGGACAGUUGGGGGCAUUUGUAUUUAACUGUCAGAGGUGAAAUUCUUAGAUUUGUUAAAGACAAACUACUGCGAAAGCAUUUGCCAAAGAUGUUUUCAUUAAUCAAGAACGAAAGUUAGGGGAUCGAAGACGAUCAGAUACCGUCGUAGUCCUAACCAUAAACUA
This 538-nucleotide ribosomal RNA is filed under the name Hepatozoon canis. RNAcentral describes it as "bacterial SSU rRNA". It matches the Rfam family "Eukaryotic small subunit ribosomal RNA", at positions 503 to 1039 of the family's 1831-position model. The record is from RNAcentral. Lineage: Eukaryota; Apicomplexa; Hepatozoidae.